RNAcentral lists this ribosomal RNA (660 nucleotides) under uncultured bacterium. RNAcentral describes it as "bacterial SSU rRNA". It matches the Rfam family "Bacterial small subunit ribosomal RNA", at positions 94 to 788 of the family's 1533-position model. The record is from RNAcentral.
AGUGGCGGACGGGUGAGUAACGCGUGAGAAUCUGCCUUGGGGUCGGGGACAACCACUGGAAACGGUGGCUAAUACCGGAUAAGCCGAUUGGUGAAAGAUUUAUUGCCCGAAGAGGAGCUCGCGUCUGAUUAGCUAGUUGGUGAGGUAAGAGCUCACCAAGGCAGCGAUCAGUAGCUGGUCUGAGAGGACGAUCAGCCACACUGGGACUGAGACACGGCCCAGACUCCUACGGGAGGCAGCAGUGGGGAAUUUUCCGCAAUGGGCGAAAGCCUGACGGAGCAAGACCGCGUGAGGGAGGAAGGCUCUUGGGUUGUAAACCUCUUUUCUCAGGGAAGAAGCUCUGACGGUACCUGAGGAAUCAGCCUCGGCUAACUCCGUGCCAGCAGCCGCGGUAAUACGGAGGAGGCAAGCGUUAUCCGGAAUUAUUGGGCGUAAAGCGUCCGCAGGUGGCGAUUCAAGUCUGCUGUCAAAGCACGGGGCUUAACUCCGUAAAGGCAGUGGAAACUGAAUAGCUAGAGUGCCGUAGGGGUAGAGGGAAUUCCCGGUGUAGCGGUGAAAUGCGUAGAGAUCGGGAAGAACAUCGGUGGCGAAAGCGCUCUACUGGACGGCAACUGACACUCAGGGACGGAAGCUAGGGGAGCGAAUGGGAUUAGAUACCCC